Molecule: non-coding RNA, 82 nt
Organism: Ixodes scapularis (black-legged tick)
Lineage: Eukaryota; Metazoa; Arthropoda; Arachnida; Ixodida; Ixodidae
Source: Rfam
GCAGUCGUGGCCGAGUGGUUAAAGCGAUGGACUAGAAAUCCAGUGGUGUCUCCCUGCACAGGUUCGAACCCUGACGACUGCG